GAAGAGGGGGAUAACUGCGGGAAACCGCAGUAUAUACUCCAGGAAGUUGCGAGAGCAAAGUGGGGGACCUUCGGCCUCACGCCGUCGGAUGAGCCCAGCCGAGAUUAGCUGGUAGGUGAGGUAAAGGCUUACCUAGGCCACGAUCUCUAGCGGGUCUGAGAGGAUAGCCCGCCACACUGGAACUGAGACACGGUCCAGACUCCUACGGGAGGCAGCAGUGGGGAAUAUUGCACAAUGGGCGAAAGCCUGAUGCAGCCAUGCCACGUGAGUGAAGAAGGCCCCCGGGUUGUAAAGCACUUUCAGCGAGGAGGAAGCGAUAAAUGCCAAUACCAUUUAUUUUUGACGUUACUCGCAGAAGAAGCACCGGCUAACUCCGUGCCAGCAGCCGCGGUAAUACGGAGGGUGCGAGCGUUACUCGGAAUAACUGGGCGUAAAGGGCAUGUAGGCGGUGACAUAAGUCCGAAGUGAAAUCCCCGAGCUCAACUUGGGAAUGGCAUUCAAAACUAGGUGGCUAGAGUUUCUUAGAGGGGGGUAGAAUUCCAUGUGUAGAGGUGAAAUUCUUAGAUAUCUGGAGGAAUACCAGUGGCGAAGGCGGCCCCCUGGAGAACGACUGACGCUGAGGCACGAAAGCGUGGGGAGCAAACAGGAUUAGAUACCCUGGUAGUCCACGCUGU
This 674-nucleotide ribosomal RNA is filed under the name Candidatus Hamiltonella defensa (Bemisia tabaci). Its description in RNAcentral is "bacterial SSU rRNA". It matches the Rfam family "Bacterial small subunit ribosomal RNA", at positions 133 to 803 of the family's 1533-position model. Lineage: Bacteria; Pseudomonadati; Pseudomonadota; Gammaproteobacteria; Enterobacterales; Enterobacteriaceae. The record is from RNAcentral.